Molecule: long non-coding RNA, 647 nt
Organism: Ornithorhynchus anatinus (platypus)
Lineage: Eukaryota; Metazoa; Chordata; Mammalia; Monotremata; Ornithorhynchidae
Exons: 3
Source: RefSeq, a predicted model, not a curated record
UUCCAUUAGAGUGCAAUCUCUUCGGUUUGCCCCUCCUUUUCAUCUUUCUGAGCUUUCGCUAGCCAAAAUCGUUUAAGCCGAAACGUCAGUGAUCCGGCCCGGACGGAGUACGUUGUUAAUUAUCCAAUCUACUUUUGAUCCGGGAAAGCUGGACGAAACCAGGUCAUUGCAGAGGGGCGGAAGGCGGAUCGUCACCGCUGGGAGUAAUCCUAGGCCACGCUGCUCCUUCUCAAAGAAGAAUCAUAUCACAAUGGUGUAUUCAACAAUCUCCCAGUACUGCGACAGGAAAUGCCGGAUUGAUUUUGUCUGCCUUUCCCCUGUUUCGGCAGGUGUGACCCUUCUCCCCAUUUUUCGUACGUGAUUUCAGCGAAACCAUCAACCUAUUUUUAGGUGAUUCGACAAGGCCGCGGACGGUAAAAAAUUCACAGGACAGCACAGUCACAGCUACGUUUGAACGAGAAGGCUUAAAAGCGACUAUCAACUCACGCCGAUCUGAACACGGCACCUCUAGGAAGCUUUCUUAAACCCAGCCUAAUUAGCAACUCGUAUCGCUUCAAAAACCAACAAGUUGAUACGAGGAAAGUAUGAUGUGGAGGCAUGCUCUGCGAGGACAGGGGUAUGAGAAUAUAAAAGUUAAGCUGACAAUA